AUUGGUAUAUCGAUGAUAUUGUCUGCCUAGCGUACUAUGAAAGGUACUUUUACGACAAGGAGAAAGAUGAGUGUAUUUUCUUCGUGUACAGUGGUUGUGAAGGCACUAAUCUCUUCUCUUCUAAACAAGAGUGCGUGAAUGCCUGUGUCCGCCAUGACAAAACACACAUGUUUGCUACUAACAACUAAAAACUACCGCAAAGUUAAAA
Spodoptera litura is the source of this 208-nucleotide non-coding RNA. Lineage: Eukaryota; Metazoa; Arthropoda; Insecta; Lepidoptera; Noctuidae. The record is from RefSeq and is a predicted model, not a curated record.